CUUCUCCUACGGGAGGCAGCAGUGGGGAAUAUUGCACAAUGGGGGGAACCCUGAUGCAGCGACGCCGCGUGGGUGAAGGAGUACUUCGGUACGUAAAGCCCUAUCAGCAGGAAAGAAAAUGACGGUACCUGACUAAGAAGCCCCGGCUAACUACGUGCCAGCAGCCGCGGUAAUACGUAGGGGGCAAGCGUUAUCCGGAUUUACUGGGUGUAAAGGGAGCGUAGACGGCAGUGCAAGUCCGGAGUGAAAGCCCGGGGCUCAACCCUGGGACUGCUUUGGAAACUGCCCGGCUAGAGUGCUGGAGG
Molecule: ribosomal RNA, 305 nt
Filed under: uncultured bacterium
Lineage: Bacteria
Description: bacterial SSU rRNA
Rfam family: Bacterial small subunit ribosomal RNA
Source: RNAcentral